GGAGUGGAAAAUAUUAGUUACACAAGCAAAUCUGAGGUGUCUCUCAAAUUGCAUUUAGCUGCAAAAUCCUAGGUCAAGCUAACAGGAUGCCUGAAAUGGACACUGGUAGAAGCUCUCAGUUCUGUGAUGACUGAGAAACAAAAAUACAAAGUAAGGGUGUGCAGAGUAGAUGGACUUCAUGAGAAUUAGGGGGCAAUUUGACUAUACACUGAUCUGUAUGACUGCCUUCUUCUGUGAGAUUGUAGUGAUGUUGUAAUAUAUGUUGGGAAAUAAUUCAUGCUAUAAAAGCAUGUAUUUCAUAAAGAUUCCAAAAUCCAAACAAGUCUCUGACCGCAAGCAGCCUGAGAGGCAGGCGUCUAUUCAAAUUCCGAAAUUCCUGAAGGUGGCCAGAUAACGAUCGGCACUUUAGCUCAAGAAUAGACACACCCAGUGAGAUGAUCACCAUUAUCCUGAGACAUCGCCUAAGAGUGAUCAUUGCCCUGUUGAUAACAUCGAUCAAGAUAGCCAAAGUCGCCAGAAAGAUACUUGUGAAUACGUGCCUUCCCUAAAUCUGAUCAGUGCUGGCUAUCAACAAGGAAAUGGCGAUUGUCCAGCUCUGCCCAGUGAAAGAACCAACUAUGAAUAUGCAGAGUUACAAAAGAAACUGGGACUUCUUUGCUCAGGCAUAAUAAACUGUAUAAAGCAUGCCUGCAAGAAGUGGCUCUCGUGAAUGGUGGAGGGUCUGAUGCAAUAGAGCUGGGAUCCAGGUUCACCCAGCACCGACCCCGGGCUCGACGCUGUCUUUUUGGCUGUGGAGGUUUUGAAGACCAUAUUUUAGUAGCGGAAAAUGAUAAAGAAAUCUUUUCAGAUUUUUUAUAAUUUGGCUUUCGAUUGAUCAUUUGUAACAGUUCCAUAUAGAUGAUUCCACAUUUGGUGUCUUGGUGCAUAAAUCAAGAGCACAAUCAGUUCAUGAUAAGCACCAGUACAAGCUGGACUUCCCAGAGCAGCCAACUGAAAGAAUCUGAAAAGAAGAAAUGCAGGAAAUGCCUUGGUAAACCUUGCCUGGAAGACGGGUGACUUUUUUUCAGUAAUCUAUAAUCCAUUCCCUUGGCCUUUGGCUUUCUUUCUGGCCAUUUGCAUCCCAGAUUCCCCAUGAAGUGCAAAGCCUGAGCUUGUGGAAGUGGCUGAAAGAUGCCCUGUUCCUCUGCAGGGACACUCAACUGGAACAGGAGCCGGAGCGCUGUCUGGGGCAGCCUCCUCCGAGCUGGAAUUUGUGCCGUGCUGGGAGAGGAGGAGGAGGGGGAGAAGGCUGGCGCUGUGUGGCAGGAGCAGGAGGUUUGGGCCGCAGGACAUUCCGUCUGUGCCGCUGCCCCGCAAUGGGCGGCCGUGCCCGGGGCUCUGGGCCUGGCCCCGCGUGCGCUGAGCUCCCUGGGCUGGGCUCAGGUUAACGCUGGGACUGGGCAGAGCCUGGGCUCCAACUGGGGGCAGCAGCAGUGCAAAACACCUCUGGGCAUCUGCGUUUCCUGCUGCUGGGAAGGGGCAA
This is a long non-coding RNA of Zonotrichia leucophrys gambelii, 1522 nucleotides long. RefSeq lists it as uncharacterized. The transcript has 3 exons. Lineage: Eukaryota; Metazoa; Chordata; Aves; Passeriformes; Passerellidae. The record is from RefSeq and is a predicted model, not a curated record.